AACUUGACCUCAAAUCGAGUAGGACUACCCGCUGAACUUAAGCAUAUCGAUGAGCGGAGGAAAAGAAACUAACAAGGAUUCCCCUAGUAAC
RNAcentral lists this ribosomal RNA (91 nucleotides) under uncultured Sebacina. RNAcentral's name for it is "partial 28S ribosomal RNA". It matches the Rfam family "Eukaryotic large subunit ribosomal RNA", at positions 1 to 87 of the family's 3401-position model. The record is from RNAcentral. Lineage: Eukaryota; Fungi; Basidiomycota; Agaricomycetes; Sebacinales; Sebacinaceae.